Molecule: ribosomal RNA, 1436 nt
Filed under: Lactiplantibacillus plantarum
Lineage: Bacteria; Bacillati; Bacillota; Bacilli; Lactobacillales; Lactobacillaceae
Description: bacterial SSU rRNA
Source: RNAcentral
UGCAAGUCGAACGAACUCUGGUAUUGAUUGGUGCUUGCAUCAUGAUUUACAUUUGAGUGAGUGGCGAACUGGUGAGUAACACGUGGGAAACCUGCCCAGAAGCGGGGGAUAACACCUGGAAACAGAUGCUAAUACCGCAUAACAACUUGGACCGCAUGGUCCGAGYUUGAAAGAUGGCUUCGGCUAUCACUUUUGGAUGGUCCCGCGGCGUAUUAGCUAGAUGGUGRGGUAACGGCUCACCAUGGCAAUGAUACGUAGCCGACCUGAGAGGGUAAUCGGCCACAUUGGGACUGAGACACGGCCCAAACUCCUACGGGAGGCAGCAGUAGGGAAUCUUCCACAAUGGACGAAAGUCUGAUGGAGCAACGCCGCGUGAGUGAAGAAGGGUUUCGGCUCGUAAAACUCUGUUGUUAAAGAAGAACAUAUCUGAGAGUAACUGUUCAGGUAUUGACGGUAUUUAACCAGAAAGCCACGGCUAACUACGUGCCAGCAGCCGCGGUAAUACGUAGGUGGCAAGCGUUGUCCGGAUUUAUUGGGCGUAAAGCGAGCGCAGGCGGUUUUUUAAGUCUGAUGUGAAAGCCUUCGGCUCAACCGAAGAAGUGCAUCGGAAACUGGGAAACUUGAGUGCAGAAGAGGACAGUGGAACUCCAUGUGUAGCGGUGAAAUGCGUAGAUAUAUGGAAGAACACCAGUGGCGAAGGCGGCUGUCUGGUCUGUAACUGACGCUGAGGCUCGAAAGUAUGGGUAGCAAACAGGAUUAGAUACCCUGGUAGUCCAUACCGUAAACGAUGAAUGCUAAGUGUUGGAGGGUUUCCGCCCUUCAGUGCUGCAGCUAACGCAUUAAGCAUUCCGCCUGGGGAGUACGGCCGCAAGGCUGAAACUCAAAGGAAUUGACGGGGGCCCGCACAAGCGGUGGAGCAUGUGGUUUAAUUCGAAGCUACGCGAAGAACCUUACCAGGUCUUGACAUACUAUGCAAAUCUAAGAGAUUAGACGUUCCCUUCGGGGACAUGGAUACAGGUGGUGCAUGGUUGUCGUCAGCUCGUGUCGUGAGAUGUUGGGUUAAGUCCCGCAACGAGCGCAACCCUUAUUAUCAGUUGCCAGCAUUAAGUUGGGCACUCUGGUGAGACUGCCGGUGACAAACCGGAGGAAGGUGGGGAUGACGUCAAAUCAUCAUGCCCCUUAUGACCUGGGCUACACACGUGCUACAAUGGAUGGUACAACGAGUUGCGAACUCGCGAGAGUAAGCUAAUCUCUUAAAGCCAUUCUCAGUUCGGAUUGUAGGCUGCAACUCGCCUACAUGAAGUCGGAAUCGCUAGUAAUCGCGGAUCAGCAUGCCGCGGUGAAUACGUUCCCGGGCCUUGUACACACCGCCCGUCACACCAUGAGAGUUUGUAACACCCAAAGUCGGUGGGGUAACCUUUUAGGAACCAGCCGCC